CUCGAGGGAAAGAAUCUGAAUGUUGCAUUUACCUGUCUCAUAGUGAUACAGCGUGGACUGUUUUAGCAAUAUCGUUUCUUUCUCUUCUUGUUAUAUUAGCUUUCCUCAUAAUAGCCUUUGUCAUGCCCAGACACUGGCCAAAUUGGCAGCGAACACAUUUUCACUGCAAAAUUGUGGAUGUGCGGAUGCUGGAAGGCCUUCCCCGCUUCACAUUCCACUCCACUCAUUUGAAUUGUAAUCACAGUGGGGAAACUUGUGCUAUUUGCCUUGAGGAUUACAAAGAUGGGGAAAUUCUUAAAGUUCUUCCUUGCCAACAUGAAUUUCAUUCAAGCUGUGUGGAUUCAUGGCUGACUAAGUGGGGGACAUUCUGCCC
Molecule: unclassified non-coding RNA, 373 nt
Filed under: Hevea brasiliensis (rubber tree)
Lineage: Eukaryota; Viridiplantae; Streptophyta; Magnoliopsida; Malpighiales; Euphorbiaceae
Source: RNAcentral